AUUGAACGCUGGCGGCAUGCUUUACACAUGCAAGUCGAACGGUAACAGGCCGCAAGGUGCUGACGAGUGGCGAACGGGUGAGUAAUGCAUCGGAACGUGCCCAGUCGUGGGGGACAACUACUCGAAAGAGUAGCUAAUACCGCAUACGAUCUAUGGAUGAAAGCGGGGGACCGUAAGGCCUCGCGCGAUUGGAGCGGCCGAUGUCAGAUUAGGUAGUUGGUGGGGUAAAGGCUCACCAAGCCAACGAUCUGUAGCUGGUCUGAGAGGACGACCAGCCACACUGGGACUGAGACACGGCCCAGACUCCUACGGGAGGCAGCAGUGGGGAAUUUUGGACAAUGGGCGCAAGCCUGAUCCAGCAAUGCCGCGUGCAGGAAGAAGGCCUUCGGGUUGUAAACUGCUUUUGUACGGAACGAAACGGCUCUGGUUAAUACCCGGGGCUAAUGACGGUACCGUAAGAAUAAGCACCGGCUAACUACGUG
RNAcentral lists this ribosomal RNA (482 nucleotides) under uncultured bacterium. Its description in RNAcentral is "partial 16S ribosomal RNA". It matches the Rfam family "Bacterial small subunit ribosomal RNA", at positions 30 to 507 of the family's 1533-position model. The record is from RNAcentral.